GAUUACAUAACAGCCCCGAGGCGCGCUAUCGCGAUAUUUCCACCGCCCCCGCCUACUUCCACGUCAGAGGGAACCGGGCGGAGCGGCCAACAUGGCGGAACGCAGGCGACACAAGAAGCGGAUUCAGGAAGUUGGUGAACCAUCUAAAGAAGAGAAGGCUGUAGCCAAGUUUCUUCGAUUUAACUGUCCAACAAAGUCCACCAAUAUGAUGGGUCACCGGGUUGAUUAUUUUAUUGCUUCAAAAGCAGUGGAUUGCCUUUUGGAUUCAAAGUGGGCGAAGGCCAAGAAAGGAGAGGAAGCUUUAUUUACAACGAGGGAGUCUGUGGUUGACUACUGCAACAGGCUUUUAAAGAAACAGUUUUUUCAUCGGGCACUAAAAGUAAUGAAAAUGAAGUAUGAGAAAGACAUAAAAAAAGAAAAAGAGAAAGGAAAAGCUGAAAGUGGAAAAGAAGAAGAUAAAAAGAGCAAGAAAGAAAAUCUAAAGGAUGAAAAGACAAAAAAGGAAAAAGAAAAAAAGAAAGAUGGUGAAAAGGAAGAAUCCAAAAAGGAGGAAACUCCUGGAACUCCCAAAAAGAAGGAAACUAAGAAAAAAUUCAAGCUUGAGCCACAUGAUGAUCAAGUUUUUCUGGAUGGAAAUGAGGUAUUUGUGUGGAUCUAUGACCCAGUUCACUUUAAAACAUUUGUCAUGGGAUUAAUCCUUGUGAUUGCAGUGAUAGCAGCCACCCUCUUCCCUCUUUGGCCAGCAGAAAUGAGAGUAGGUGUUUAUUACCUCAGUGUGGGUGCAGGCUGUUUUGUAGCCAGCAUUCUUCUCCUUGCUGUUGCUCGUUGCAUUCUAUUUCUCAUCAUUUGGCUCAUAACUGGAGGAAGGCACCAUUUUUGGUUCUUGCCAAAUCUGACUGCUGACGUGGGCUUCAUUGACUCCUUCAGGCCUCUGUACACACAUGAAUAUAAAGGACCAAAAGCAGACUUAAAGAAAGAUGAGAAGUCUGAAACCAAAAAGCAGCAGAAGUCCGACAGUGAGGAAAAGUCAGACAGUGAGAAAAAGGAAGAUGAGGAAGGAAAAGUAGGACCAGGAAAUCAUGGAACAGAAGGCUCAGGUGGAGAACGGCAUUCAGACACAGACAGUGACAGGCGAGAAGAUGACCGAUCCCAACACAGUAGUGGAAAUGGGAAUGAUUUUGAAAUGAUCACAAAAGAGGAACUGGAACAGCAAACAGAUGGGGAUUGUGAAGAGGAGGAAGAAGAAGACAAUGACGGAGAAACAACUAAAUCUUCACAUGAAAAAUCAUAAUCUGACUAAUUUGGGGACUAAAUAAGUGCAAGAGGUUGGAUUUUCUAGGUUGGCUGAUCAUCAUAAUGUACACGUGACAUUUGUAGCAUUCUUUAAAUCCAUUUACUGAAGUGGAUUUGUCAUCCAAGCAGUUAUAUUCAGCCCCUCAUUUCAUGUAAUACUAUUAUUGGUACAGUCUAAAGCCAUUUGAAAUCCAAAUUGAUUUGUACGACUGAUUCAGAGUAAGGUGGUCAUCUCCAACAGAGGAAGCAAGAAGCAUUGGCUGGAAGGUGAUGGCUCUUCUUCCCAUUUCCUUGUCGUAAAGUAAAAUGUAUUCUGUACAUAAUUUACAAAUAAACAUUUUAUUUUAAUUGA
This is an RNA transcript of Lagenorhynchus albirostris (white-beaked dolphin), 1645 nucleotides long. It is a transcript of the gene named SEC62 homolog, preprotein translocation factor, with no coding region annotated. Lineage: Eukaryota; Metazoa; Chordata; Mammalia; Artiodactyla; Delphinidae. The transcript is spliced from 9 exons. The record is from RefSeq and is a predicted model, not a curated record.